RNAcentral lists this non-coding RNA (87 nucleotides) under Kosakonia radicincitans DSM 16656. RNAcentral describes it as "Peptidase-S11 RNA". It matches the Rfam family "Peptidase-S11 RNA". From Rfam's summary of the family: Enterobacteria. Environment (Termite gut, fungus grower) The record is from RNAcentral. Lineage: Bacteria; Pseudomonadati; Pseudomonadota; Gammaproteobacteria; Enterobacterales; Enterobacteriaceae.
GCUAUUAUGCGCAGGCCAGCCUCAUUAUUUUCCUGAUUAAUGAAAGCGGUGUGCGUAACAACGUGCGUGAAUAAUUUUCAGAAGUCU